This 4368-nucleotide long non-coding RNA is filed under the name Elaeis guineensis (African oil palm). RNAcentral describes it as "long non-coding RNA (EGUI_LNC014551)". The record is from RNAcentral. Lineage: Eukaryota; Viridiplantae; Streptophyta; Magnoliopsida; Arecales; Arecaceae.
AAUAUCAUACUCACGUUAUAUCAUCAUAUGAAAGCAUAUAUCAUUCACCACUUCAAUAAGCACAUGGACUGGUCUUCCUGCAUUGAAGAUGAUUUGGGUUGUGAUUACUUUUCCCCAUGAUGAAAUAAGAAGUAUCAUGCUCUAUAAAAGCAUAUUUCAUUUCUUUCAUUACUAAGAGGCAUAACUUGAUUGGUGUGGUGCUUAUGAAUAUGUAGAUCACCAACUUUACGCAUGAUUUUGAUGAUGAGUAAGCUUGACAAGUUUAUGAAUUCCUUGUUUCUGCAUGUAAAACAGGACCACAUGAUCAUUGGACUUUUUUUUAUGGGCUAUACUUUUGGAUGAAAUAAACAGAAAUCGAACCAUGUUGUGGGUUGAAUUCUAGGCUUGAAUUAGUGAAGUAAGAUAAUAAUAUAGAGACAUCAUAAAUAUUAUCAUUUUACAUUUUGAGUUUGUGAAGGAACUUAAGCAGAAUAAGUGUGUGAUGUGGAGAAUCUCAUUUUUAUGCUUGUGCAAGAGAUAUAUAGGUGAGAGAUAGAAACCUGGUUGAGGAGCUUAACAUGAUGUGUUCCCUGAUGCUUUAAAGGUGGGGCUGGAGAGGGAAGGAUGAGUUGAUCUGGAUGCAAGAUAUUGAGGUUGUUUGUUGUAUUAAGGGGAUAAGGACAGUGUGCUUCUUUGUGAGAUGGAUGAAUGAUUUUUGAGGAUGGAUACUUGUAUAUCUGAUUUCUUUUUUCUUUUUGAAGAUGAGUUAUAUAAGUUAAUUCAAAUUCCAGAAUGUUUUAAUGAGAGAAGAUAUUCUCUCUCUCUCUCUCUCCCCCCUUCUUCCUGCUGGAUAGGAGGAUGGUCUAUGUGGUUUGGAUUUGUUAGACUCAAAAUAUUGACUAUUUUCAGAAAUUUGAGUUUGGGAUUGACUUUGAGAAGAAAGAAAUGAAUAAAGAUAUUUGAGUCCAAAAUAAAUUGUGCUCGUUGAUCUAUUUUCCUUUUAGUUUAUCCAUAUGCUUUGCAUGUUAUGAGGUUUUAUGAUGUACCAUUAUUGAAGAGGGUGAACCAUGGUGUGAUGGUAAGGUUGCCCCAUUGUGACCUAGAGAUCAUAGGUUUGAAAUACGGAAACAACCUCUCCGCUGCGUACAUCUAACCCUCCCUAGACCCUGCCAUGGUGGGAGCCUCCUGCACUACACUACUCUUUUUACGAUGUAUUAUUGUGUUACAGAGAAUGAAAUCAAACAUUACUAAUAAAGGAUAUUUAAGCACACAUCAAAUUUUCAAGGAGCUAAUCAAAUGGUCCAAUACUUGUUUUGAAACAUGACUUGACCUCUUUACUAGUUGUCACAUUGCCAAAUAUUUUGUUGUUCCAUUACCGCAUUUUUGGAUUCGGUAUAAUUUUAUCUUAACUUUGAAAAACUUGAUACAGUGAAUUGAAUGUGGCAUGUGAUAGAUAGGAUGACAUGCGGGUGAAAGCUGCAUAGCUGAUGUAUUCUAUUUUCAUAAUGAAACUUCAGUUUUGAUUAAUUGAUCUUUUUUGUCCAUGUUUAUUCUUUUCUAUAGUAAAUAAUUAAAGUUUGUUCCUCUCUUCUUUGGUAGUCAAAUUGUUUAAUGAAAUAUAUGUGAUGGUUAAUAGGACAGGGUUAUUGGGGGAAUAGCAAGUUGGUCAGAGGGACAUGGCUCCAAGUUUUAACGUGUAGGCAAGUAAUGCUCCAAUGUCUAGUAUUGUCAACCUACAGAAGGUGCGAUAUAAGGUUCAUUUUGAUCUGAGUGGAUGUUAGAACCUGAUGUUAUUGUUUUUGUUGGUAGAAAUUAGGAUGAUGAGAAGAGUGUUGACUCUUCUAGAUUUCGCUGACUUAAGGCUGAUUAUAGAUUUCUAAUUGAAUACCUUGGAUCUUUGUUUAAAAAAAUGACAUGAUUGGGGUUCUCUGUUGAAAAUAGAAAAUGAAGGUUUAAAAAGAUGAAAUAUUUGGCUCGUCUUUCAGGGAAGGAGUUUCUCUAGUAACAAGUAUUCCCUCCAACUGUCUGGUUCAUCACUUCAGAUCACUGUUUCAGAAAAUAAUCUUGAGAAUAUUAUAUGAUCUAUCGACAGUAUUUUGAUCUUAUUUCACUACGACCAGGCUUCCUGAGUAAAAGACAGCAGAUGUAAGUUUUUAGGAUAUUGAGAAGCUAAAUGCUUCCUUUUAGGGAAAUAGUUGUGCCAUAGAGGUUAGGCCAGAGCAAUUGAUGGUUCGUGGUACUGUGUGACUGGUUAAGUUAUUUUCACGAAGGAGGGAUAGAGGGUUAAUUCUUCCUUUGACACUUUUUUAUUAUGGGAAUACAUCACAGAUGAAAUGAAGGAUUUAGAAUAGUGACAGGUUCAAUGCUGGCCAAGAGAAGCAUUAGGUUUUGGGAGGUCCUUUAGAUUUGGGCAUUGAGCUUUCUCAAGUUUUUCUCUCUUUAUUGAUUUUGCCUCCAAUGUCAAUCCCAUGAUUAGAUAGGUCAGUGGGGUUUUCUCUAAUGUCCUCCAUCUUGAAAGAAUUAAAACUAUUAUGAAGAUUGGGGUGUGACUAUUUGCAUCUCACCCUUGAAGACAAAAAAGUUAAUGAAAAAAUUUCUAAUCUGAAAGGUUAAGAUUCUUUUUCUUUAGGACAAUAUUUUUGGCAUAAGGCUUAGAACUCUAUCACUCUUGAUAUAUUAGAAUUUGGGUGCAACUGUGUUAGGCAAGAUAAUUAUUGCCAAUGUUUUUUGGAAAAAUAUUGGAGACCAAGUUUUGGGACAAGAUGAGAAUGACUUCUUGUAUGUAGUCCUUUUUUUGAUUUUUAACAUUAUAUACUUGGUUUUGCUUUCUUUUUGACUUCAUUGUUAUAGAUUAGCUUCUUUCUUGGGACCAACAUCUGUUACUAAGAAGGAUAAGGAUGGGAAUACUUUUUCGCGUGCAUUUGCUAUGAAGUUUGGAUGUUAUUAGAUCUUCAAGAACACUUGUAACAACUCUGAGGCCAUUGCUGCAUGCAUUGCAUGCAUUUUUAUAUGGGGCAGGAUAUUUGUUAGAGUUGCUUUUAGUGAUUUUUGAGGCAAUAUUGGUGUUUGUUCUUCGAGGAUUGCUGUGUGAUGUAGGUAUGACAUAGAACAUGUGGUUUCACUAAUAUUUGUUUCAAUGGAGCCAUAUAAUCUUCAUAUGACCGGGGGAUUUAGAUAUAUUUUGGGUGUCUAUAUACGUUAUAUAUGAACAUAAUAUUGAUGAAAUAACAGUAUUGAUUGAGGAAGCUGUCAUGUAAAAUAUUUAUACUUUAGGGUGACAGCCUAAAAGAAGAGCAAUCACCUUUUUAAAAUAGAGACUGAAAUCCUACUUUCAUACAAAGAUACAAGGUAAAAUCCUAAAAAACUGUUGAAAAGGCGCAAAAGAGAAACCACAAACCUUUUUUGAAAGGAAAACACAUUGUCAAUCAUUGUUCCCUGGGAAACUGGUUAGAUGUUGUCCUGACCUGAUCAGGAACCUGAAUGAUUUACAUUGUUUCUUCCAGCCUGAAGAACCAGUGCAUCAAAUGUAAGAAUUCUUUUUUUUUUGUUUUUGAGGGGGGGGGGGGGGGGUGAACCUAGCUGUACACCAGAAAAAACUAAAAUCAAGAAAUUUAUUCAGGAUAGCUCUGUUUGUCAUGGUAACACCCUUCCGGUCUUUCUAAAACAUUUUCUUUUUGCUGCAGAGGCAGUCCUCUGGUUUUUGAUAUGUUUUCAUGAUUGUCCUGAUUUAUGAUUUGACUUAGUAUUGACAAUCUUAAAAGUGACACACAGGUCCUCCAGGUCUAUAUGUGAGCAUUGGUCAUCUCAUACUAUCAUCUGUGGCAUAAUUAUGCAGAUACUUCAUAGUUUAGCCUCCUCAAUGCCCAUCUACAUCUCUGUGGAUCCUUUUUCACAAUUUUUGUUGAUAUAUAUCACACACAUAUAGAAAGAUGACAACUAGCUAAUCGUUGUCUUCUAGCAUCAUUUUGAUUUUUGAAACCUAUUUUAUUGUCUUUCCUGUUUCUGGUUUGCUUCAUACAUCCAACGACUAGUCCACUAUAACACUUGGUUCCUUGAUUAAACCUAAAAUCAUCAAGAAUCAAAACAUGCAACAUCUAUCAAUCUAGAAGUCUGAAGCUAUGUUGUUGAACCCAACAUCAAUUGUUCUAUCACCAAGACUAUCCCUGCUCACAAUGAUUAAAAAAAAAUGGUAGGUAUCUACUUUUACAUCUACAGUUUUAUUAGUGCUUCACAGAUUCAAAUUAUUCUUAAUCAUACUUCACGGCCAGUUAAAUAUAUCUGCAGCUUGAGUAUCAGUAUGUUCAGUAGCCUCAGCUAGUUUUUGCUGAAACUACCUAGUUCGUCUCUUGUUUUGCUGGUUUUAACUGAAACUAAUAAUUUUCGGCUGGA